RNAcentral lists this non-coding RNA (197 nucleotides) under Peptococcaceae bacterium. The record is from RNAcentral. Lineage: Bacteria; Bacillati; Bacillota; Clostridia; Eubacteriales; Peptococcaceae.
CAACUACAUAGUAGGCUUGGUGCUGCUGGUAUCGCCAGCAGAUAAUAGGGAAGUUGGGCUCUGGUACACAGAGAAACCACGCGGUCCCGCCACUGUAUCCAAGGAGUGCCCCAUGGAAUGCCACUCACUGUUGUGGGGAAGGUAUGGAGGCACGAUGAUCUGGGAGCCAGGAGACCUGCCAGGCUGAACUCGAUCAA